AGGACGAACGCUGGCGGCGUGCUUAACACAUGCAAGUCGAGCGGAAAGGCCCUUCGGGGUACUCGAGCGGCGAACGGGUGAGUAACACGUGAGUAACCUGCCCCUAGCUCUGGGAUAGCUCCGGGAAACCGGGAUUAAUACCAGAUACGACCACUUUAGACAUCUGUCGUGGUGGAAAGGAUUCCGGCUAGGGAUGAGCUCGCGGCCUAUCAGCUAGUUGGUGGGGUAACGGCCUACCAAGGCGACGACGGGUA
This 254-nucleotide ribosomal RNA is filed under the name uncultured bacterium. Its description in RNAcentral is "partial small subunit ribosomal RNA". It matches the Rfam family "Bacterial small subunit ribosomal RNA", at positions 26 to 285 of the family's 1533-position model. The record is from RNAcentral.